AGCGAACGCUGGCGGCAGGCCUAACACAUGCAAGUCGAACGAACUCUUCGGAGUUAGUGGCGGACGGGUGAGUAACACGUGGGAACGUGCCUUUAGGUUCAGAAUAACUCAGGGAAACUUGUGCUAAUACCGAAUGUGCCCUUCGGGGGAAAGAUUUAUCGCCUUUAGAGCGGCCCGCGUCUGAUUAGCUAGUUGGUGAGGUAAAGGCUCACCAAGGCGACGAUCAGUAGCUGGUCUGAGAGGAUGAUCAGCCACAUUGGGACUGAGACGCGGCCCAAACUCCUACGGGAGGCAGCAGUGGGGAAUCUUGCGCAAUGGGCGAAAGCCUGACGCAGCCAUGCCGCGUGAAUGAUGAAGGUCUUAGGAUUGUAAAAUUCUUUCACCGGGGACGAUAAUGACGGUACCCGGAGAAGAAGCCCCGGCUAACUUCGUGCCAGCCGCCGCGGUAA
Molecule: ribosomal RNA, 449 nt
Filed under: uncultured bacterium
Lineage: Bacteria
Description: partial 16S ribosomal RNA
Rfam family: Bacterial small subunit ribosomal RNA
Source: RNAcentral